GCCGGGUUAGCUCAGUUGGCAGAGCACCUCUCUUGUAAAGAGGAUGUCGCCGGUUCGAUCCCGGCACCCGGCUCCA
This 76-nucleotide transfer RNA is filed under the name Acidimicrobiales bacterium. RNAcentral's name for it is "tRNA-Thr". It matches the Rfam family "tRNA". From Rfam's summary of the family: Transfer RNA (tRNA) molecules are approximately 80 nucleotides in length. Their secondary structure includes four short double-helical elements and three loops (D, anti-codon, and T loops). Further hydrogen bonds mediate the characteristic L-shaped molecular structure. tRNAs have two regions of fundamental functional importance: the anti-codon, which is responsible for specific mRNA codon recognition, and the 3' end, to which the tRNAs corresponding amino acid is attached (by aminoacyl-tRNA synthetases). tRNAs cope with the degeneracy of the genetic code in two manners: having more than one tRNA (with a specific anti-codon) for a particular amino acid; and 'wobble' base-pairing, i.e. permitting non-standard base-pairing at the 3rd anti-codon position. The record is from RNAcentral. Lineage: Bacteria; Bacillati; Actinomycetota; Acidimicrobiia; Acidimicrobiales.